Molecule: long non-coding RNA, 282 nt
Organism: Prionailurus viverrinus (fishing cat)
Lineage: Eukaryota; Metazoa; Chordata; Mammalia; Carnivora; Felidae
Exons: 3
Source: RefSeq, a predicted model, not a curated record
CUGGGAAGUCCUCUGCACUGGUCACACGAGAGUGCGACUGAGUGGCUUGGCACAGCGACGGCGGUUCUAAAACCCCUGCAGUCCCAAGGCCACAUCAGUCCCUUCCAGGACGGCGCCCGACGGAACUGGCCACUGGGCGUCCACCUCUGGCUGGAAAGGCCCGAGACUGGCAACAGGGAGGGAGGAGCUGCUGUGUGUUUCUCCAGAUAAAAACGGACGGUCUAUCUCUGCUCAAGUUGGAGCUUAUGAACCCUGAGAUCCUUUCUGGAAACGAGUCCAAGA